RNAcentral lists this long non-coding RNA (629 nucleotides) under Mytilus galloprovincialis (Mediterranean mussel). The record is from RNAcentral. Lineage: Eukaryota; Metazoa; Mollusca; Bivalvia; Mytilida; Mytilidae.
CCCUAACAUUUUUAUGCCCCACCUACGAUAGUAGAGGGGCAUUAUGUUUUCUGGUCUGUGCGUCCGUUCGUCCGUCCGUCUGUUCGUUCGUCCGUUCGUUCGUCCGUCUGUCCCGCUUCAGGUUAAAGUUUUUGGUCAAGGUAGUUUUUGAUGAAGUUGAAGUCCAAUCAACUUGAAACUUAGUAUACAUGUGCCCUAUGAUAUGAUCUUUCUAAUUUAAAUGCCAAAUUAUAGUUUUGACCCCAAUUUUACGGUUCACUGAACAUAGAAAAAUGAUAGUGCAAAUUUCAGGUUAAAGUUUUUGGUCAAGGUAGUUUUUGAUGAAGUUGAAGUCCAAUCAACUUGAAACUUAGUAUACAUGUGCCCUAUGAUAUGAUCUUUCUAAUUUAAAUGCCAAAUUAUAGUUUUGACCCCAAUUUUACAGUUCACUGAACAUAGAAAAUGAUAGUGCAAAUUUCAGGUUAAAGUUUUUGGUCAAGGUAGUUUUUGAUAAAGUAGAAGUCCAAUCAACUUGAAACUUAGUAUACAUGUUCCCUUUGAUAAGAUCAUUCUAAUUUUAAUGCCAAAUUAAAGAAUUUAUUCCAAUUUCACGGUCCACUAAACAUAGAAAAUGAUAGUGCGAGUGGGGC